Molecule: ribosomal RNA, 858 nt
Filed under: Ilyonectria crassa
Lineage: Eukaryota; Fungi; Ascomycota; Sordariomycetes; Hypocreales; Nectriaceae
Description: LSU rRNA
Rfam family: Eukaryotic large subunit ribosomal RNA
Source: RNAcentral
AUUGCCCUAGUAACGGCGAGUGAAGCGGCAACAGCUCAAAUUUGAAAUCUGGCCCUCGGGUCCGAAUUGUAAUUUGUAGAGGAUGCUUUUGGUGAGGUACCUUCCGAGUUCCCUGGAACGGGACGCCAUAGAGGGUGAGAGCCCCGUCUGGUUGGAUACCGAUCCUCUGUAAAGCUCCUUCGACGAGUCGAGUAGUUUGGGAAUGCUGCUCUAAAUGGGAGGUAUAUGUCUUCUAAAGCUAAAUAUUGGCCAGAGACCGAUAGCGCACAAGUAGAGUGAUCGAAAGAUGAAAAGCACUUUGAAAAGAGAGUUAAAAAGUACGUGAAAUUGUUGAAAGGGAAGCGCUCAUGACCAGACUUGGGCUUGGUUGAUCAUCCAGGGUUCUCCCUGGUGCACUCUUCCAGCCCAGGCCAGCAUCAGUUCGCUGUGGGGGAUAAAGGCUUUGGGAAUGUGGCUCCUCCGGGAGUGUUAUAGCCCAUUGUGUAAUACCCUGUGGUGGACUGAGGUUCGCGCAUCUGCAAGGAUGCUGGCGUAAUGGUCAUCAGCGACCCGUCUUGAAACACGGACCAAGGAGUCGUCUUCGUAUGCGAGUGUUCGGGUGUUAAACCCCUACGCGUAAUGAAAGUGAACGCAGGUGAGAGCUUCGGCGCAUCAUCGACCGAUCCUGAUGUUCUCGGAUGGAUUUGAGUAAGAGCAUACGGGGCCGGACCCGAAAGAAGGUGAACUAUGCCUGUAUAGGGUGAAGCCAGAGGAAACUCUGGUGGAGGCUCGCAGCGGUUCUGACGUGCAAAUCGAUCGUCAAAUAUGGGCAUGGGGGCGAAAGACUAAUCGAACCUUCUAGUAGCUGGUUUCCGCCGC